CGGGGUGCUGGCGGCAUGGUGUGCGUCGGCUGAGAUGAGACCCGCAGAACCUGAUCCGGGUAAUGCCGGCGGAGGAAAAAGAUGAA
This 86-nucleotide non-coding RNA is filed under the name bovine gut metagenome. The record is from RNAcentral.